GACGAACGCUGGCGGCGCGCCUAACACAUGCAAGUCGAACGAGCGAGAGAGAGCUUGCUUUCUCGAGCGAGUGGCGAACGGGUGAGUAACGCGUGAGGAACCUGCCUCAAAGAGGGGGACAACAGUUGGAAACGACUGCUAAUACCGCAUAAGCCCACGGCUCGGCAUCGAGCAGGGGGAAAAGGAGCAAUCCGCUUUGAGAUGGCCUCGCGUCCGAUUAGCUAGGUGGUGAGGUAACGGCCCACCAAGGCGACGAUCGGUAGCCGGACUGAGAGGUUGAACGGCCACAUUGGGACUGAGCCACGGCCCAGACUCCUACGGGAGGCAGCAGUGGGGAAUAUUGCAAAAUGGGGGAAACCCUGAUGCAGCGACGCCGCGUGGAGGAAGAAGGUCUUCGGAUUGUAAACUCCUGUUGUUGGGGAAGAUAAUGACGGUACCCAAAAAGGAAGUGACGGCUAACUACGUG
RNAcentral lists this ribosomal RNA (466 nucleotides) under uncultured bacterium. RNAcentral's name for it is "partial 16S ribosomal RNA". It matches the Rfam family "Bacterial small subunit ribosomal RNA", at positions 28 to 507 of the family's 1533-position model. The record is from RNAcentral.